GAAUCUGCCCUCAGGUACGGAAUAACUCAGGGAAACUUGAGCUAAUACCGUAUAAUGACUUCGGUCCAAAGAUUUAUCGCCUGGGGAUGAGCCCGCGUCGGAUUAGCUAGUUGGUGAGGUAAAGGCUCACCAAGGCGACGAUCCGUAGCUGGUCUGAGAGGAUGAUCAGCCACACUGGGACUGAGACACGGCCCAGACUCCUACGGGAGGCAGCAGUGGGGAAUAUUGGACAAUGGGCGCAAGCCUGAUCCAGCAAUGCCGCGUGAGUGAUGAAGGCCUUAGGGUUGUAAAGCUCUUUUACCCGGGAAGAUAAUGACUGUACCGGGAGAAUAAGCCCCGGCUAACUCCGUGCCAGCAGCCGCGGUAAUACGGAGGGGGCUAGCGUUGUUCGGAAUUACUGGGCGUAAAGCGCACGUAGGCGGCUUUGCAAGUUAGAGGUGAAAGCCCGGGGCUCAACUCCGGAAUUGCCUUUAAAACUGCAUCGCUAGAAUCGUGGAGAGGUGAGUGGAAUUCCGAGUGUAGAGGUGAAAUUCGUAGAUAUUCGGAAGAACACCAGUGGCGAAGGCGACUCACUGGACACGUAUUGACGCUGAGGUGCG
Molecule: ribosomal RNA, 599 nt
Filed under: uncultured bacterium
Lineage: Bacteria
Description: bacterial SSU rRNA
Rfam family: Bacterial small subunit ribosomal RNA
Source: RNAcentral